RNAcentral lists this ribosomal RNA (253 nucleotides) under uncultured bacterium. Its description in RNAcentral is "partial 16S ribosomal RNA". It matches the Rfam family "Bacterial small subunit ribosomal RNA", at positions 524 to 776 of the family's 1533-position model. The record is from RNAcentral.
UACGUAGGGGGCUAGCGUUGUCCGGAAUCAUUGGGCGUAAAGCGCGUGUAGGCGGUUCGGUAAGUCCGCUGUGAAAGUCGGGGGCUCAACCCUCGAAAGCCGGUGGAUACUGUCGGACUAGAGUACGGAAGAGGCGAGUGGAAUUCCUGGUGUAGCGGUGAAAUGCGCAGAUAUCAGGAGGAACACCGGUGGCGAAGGCGGCAUCCUGGACCGACACUGACACUGAGGAGCGAAAGCCAGGGGAGCAAACGGG